This 498-nucleotide ribosomal RNA is filed under the name uncultured bacterium. RNAcentral describes it as "partial 16S ribosomal RNA". It matches the Rfam family "Bacterial small subunit ribosomal RNA", at positions 30 to 523 of the family's 1533-position model. The record is from RNAcentral.
AUUGAACGCUGGCGGCAUGCCUUACACAUGCAAGUCGAACGGUAACAGGUCUUCGGAUGCUGACGAGUGGCGAACGGGUGAGUAAUACAUCGGAACGUGCCCGAUCGUGGGGGAUAACGAAGCGAAAGCUUUGCUAAUACCGCAUAAGAUCUACGGAUGAAAGCAGGGGACCGCAAGGCCUUGCGCGAACGGAGCGGCCGAUGGCAGAUUAGGUAGUUGGUGGGAUAAAAGCUUACCAAGCCGACGAUCUGUAGCUGGUCUGAGAGGACGACCAGCCACACUGGGACUGAGACACGGCCCAGACUCCUACGGGAGGCAGCAGUGGGGAAUUUUGGACAAUGGGCGAAAGCCUGAUCCAGCCAUGCCGCGUGCAGGAUGAAGGCCUUCGGGUUGUAAACCGCUUUUGUACGGAACGAAAAGACUCUUUCUAAUAAAGAGGGUCCAUGACGGUACCGUAAGGAUAAGCGCCGGCUAACUACGUGCCAGCAGCCGCAGUAA